UGUAAUAAAUACUCGUUGAUCGCUCAGCAGUCAUCCUACCUGCAUUCUAAUCCCAGCUCUAGCAUUUAAUAUUUUGGAUGAACUGUGUGACUUUACUGGGCCUGGUUUUCCCCUCUGUUAAACUGGAAAAGAGGGGGCAUUGACUAGAUUAGCUUGGCUUUUUUAAGUUAGAGACCUCUUUGAGAUUUCGGUGAGCACUAUCAACUUACUGCAUGUGAAAAUGCACCAGCAUCAAAAAUAAUAAAAUAAUUACACUCAGCAAAAGAAAUGCAAGAUUUAUACACUAAAAAACUUUAAAACUGUAGUUUGAAGUGAGGUUCUGCCAGAUUCUGAGCCCAGGCUUAAGAAAUUGGCAGCUUCCAUUUCCUGUGUCUUGGAGCAUUUAUUCUUAGAAGCCGUCCGCCAUGCUGUGAGGAAGCACAAGCUGUCCUACAGAGAAAUCUACAUGGAGAAGAGCCAAGGCCUCCCAGCUACAGCCCCCUGUGAGCUCCUGGCUGAUGGCCAGCACAGACUUGACAGACACGUGAGUGAGCCAUCUUGGAAACUGGAUCCAGGCCCAGAUAAGCUGCCCCAGCUGAUGACUCCUGAGCAGAGAGACAGAAAAUAUGAAUGGGUCUCCUGGGAAAAGAGGGUUUGUUUUCUUUGCAAGUUAAGCACCUCACCAAUGGAUCAACUCACUAGGUCACUGAUUACCCUCAAGAAGCUGAUCAAAGGCCCGACAACCACAGUGCCCGCCAGCAGCAAGGGGAAAGACCACUGAAUGAAGGAUUUGAUAAAGACCACAUGUCUUAUGCCAUCUGGGAACUUUAUAUUGACUCAGGUUUCUAGAACUAAUCUAUAAUUUGCUUGUGGAAAGGCUGGAUGGAUUGAACUGUAUACAUUUUACUACAGAGGGUAGUAAGAACUAUCUUGGUUGAGAAAAAUAAAAGGAAAUAUCUUUCUGUGAUCUUCCAUGUUUCACUGUCAAAAACUCUAAGGAAAGAAGAUCAGUGGAGCAUAGAUUGGCUGUCCAAAUAAACUUAAAAAAUCUCAAGUAAGAAGAGAGAUAAAUGUUACCUUGAAAACUUGAUCAACUCAAAUACAUACAGACUAGGAAGCAUUAUAGGCUUCAAUUAAAAUACUGUGUAUAUGUGUGACAGUUUCAUACCUUGGUACUCGUACUUAGGAUAGAAUAUGGAAGAAUCGCCAAAAAAUCAUCAAAUGAAGGCUGACUCAAAACCAAGAUCUAUGGGGCUUCCCUGGUGGCACAGUGGUUGAGAAUCUGCCUGCCAAUGCAGGGGACACGGGUUCGAGCCCUGGUCUGGGAAGAUACCACAUGCCACGGAGCAACUAGGCCCGUGAGCCACAACUACUGAGCCUGCGUGUCUGGAGCCUGUGCUCUACAACAAGAGAGCCCGCGAUAGUGAGAGGCCCACGCACCGCGAUGAAGAGUGGUCCUGGUCCCUGCUUGCCGCAACUAGAGAAAGCCCUCGCAC
Balaenoptera acutorostrata (minke whale) is the source of this 1475-nucleotide long non-coding RNA. RefSeq lists it as uncharacterized. The record is from RefSeq and is a predicted model, not a curated record. NCBI's taxonomy places the organism in Eukaryota, Metazoa, Chordata, Mammalia, Artiodactyla, Balaenopteridae. The transcript is spliced from 3 exons.